Molecule: ribosomal RNA, 253 nt
Filed under: uncultured bacterium
Lineage: Bacteria
Description: partial 16S ribosomal RNA
Rfam family: Bacterial small subunit ribosomal RNA
Source: RNAcentral
UACGUAGGGGGCUAGCGUUGUCCGGAAUCAUUGGGCGUAAAGCGCGUGUAGGCGGUCCGGUAAGUCCGCUGUGAAAGUCGAGGGCUCAACCCUCGAAUGCCGGUGGAUACUGUCGGGCUUGAGUACGGGGGAGGCGAGUGGAAUUCCUGGUGUAGCGGUGAAAUGCGCAGAUAUCAGGAGGAACACCGAUUGCGAAGGCAGCUCGCUGGAACGUUACUGACGCUAAGGCGCGAAAGCGUGGGGAGCGAACAGG